CAGGUAGGACUACCCGCU
Molecule: ribosomal RNA, 18 nt
Filed under: Trametes versicolor
Lineage: Eukaryota; Fungi; Basidiomycota; Agaricomycetes; Polyporales; Polyporaceae
Also listed under: 10 other names
Description: partial 28S ribosomal RNA
Source: RNAcentral